AUUGAACGCUGGCGGCAGGCCUAACACAUGCAAGUCGAACGAGUGGCGGACGGGUGAGUAAUGUCUGGGAAAAUGCCUGAUGGAGGGGGAUAACUACUGGAAAGGGUAGCUAAUACCGCAUACCAUCAGAUGUGCCCAGAUGGGAUUAGCUAGUUGGUGGGGUAACGGCUCACCAAGGCGACGAUCCCUAGCUGGUCUGAGAGGAUGACCAGCCACACUGGAACUGAGACACGGCCCAGACUCCUACGGGAGGCAGCAGUGGGGAAUAUUGCACAAUGGGCGCAAGCCUGAUUCAGCCAUGCCGCGUGUAUGAUGAAGGCCUUCGGGUUGUAAAGUACUUUCGGCAGGGAGGCGUUACCCGCAGAAGAAGCACCGGCUAACUCCGUGCCAGCAGCCGCGGUAAUAC
Molecule: ribosomal RNA, 406 nt
Filed under: uncultured bacterium
Lineage: Bacteria
Description: partial 16S ribosomal RNA
Rfam family: Bacterial small subunit ribosomal RNA
Source: RNAcentral